Long non-coding RNA from Eriocheir sinensis (Chinese mitten crab), 2646 nucleotides. RefSeq lists it as uncharacterized. Lineage: Eukaryota; Metazoa; Arthropoda; Malacostraca; Decapoda; Varunidae. The transcript is spliced from 2 exons. The record is from RefSeq and is a predicted model, not a curated record.
AUCACCAUCCAGUUUCUUAAUGCUGUCUCACAAGUGGUUCCCACGGAAAUCCUCCCACCUUCCAUAAUUAAUCACAAGAGUAACGCCCUUCUGGUCACAAACCUCGGAACGAGUGUUCACUUGUCCUGAGGCCUUAACAUCCGGGACCAGCGCUCGACGACUACCACGCCACCACAUACCUUCACAACCAUAGUGGUCGUCAAAAAAGGGAUGUAGCUUUUAAUUAUUUUCUUUCCACACUACAGAGUGUAAGGCAGGGGUUUGUGGAAGGGGUGGGUGAGGUGAAGGUGGGGACAGGGGGCGGCAGGGAUCGAGGUGGAGUGGGCAUAUGAAUGAGGCAGGGGAGGGUGAAAAAUAAGUAUUCUUGAUCUCCUACUUCCUUCAAUCACUUCCAACUUUAUUCUAAUGUAUCCUUUCUUCCCUCCCCUCCCUCUAUCCAUCCAUCCAUCAAGAAGACGAAGAAAAAGACUGGGGUGACGUGUGGCGAGGAGGAGGAGGUGGGGGUAUACCAGCCGCCCAGACCAUAGCCUCAUCAAUGUUAUGCCACAAGGGAGAAGGAUUGCUGUUGAAGAAUCGAGACAACCUGUGGUGUGCGAUUCACCACUAGGAGCGUCACACUUAUUUAUCAUUAAAAAUAAUUCAACUUAAUAAAUCUAAAAAAAACUAAUUUUACCUAACCUAACCGAACUAUAACAGGCUCUCUACUGAAAAUAAUAGGCUAUAAAAUAGUUAAAAAUAUUGUUGACUGUAUACCUAUUAGGCAAUUUCGAAUAUUAGCUAUGUGAUUUCUCUGCCAUAAAUUAAAAUUCCGUUUGUUUGCACUCAUAGAGCCAGAUGUCUAUUUUUAUGUUGCCUUCUUGAAAUGAUUAAAAAAGCAUAAUUACUUGACGCCCUUUGUUCGCUCGCAUAUGAUUUGACUGUGAUGAAGGCUACAAGCUUAUCGUUCGUGUAAUUGUGAUAUUUUAUCGAUUCAAAUUUUCUUUAACUCUUUACCAAAUAGCUGACACAAUUUGGUCUUAGAAAAAAGUACUUCUGAUGCAUGUGAUUUUUACCUUGGUGCAUUGGAUUUAACCAUAAGGCUACUUUUUUAAACGUUCAUCAGUGGGCAUGAUGGUUCUUUGUAUAUAAAAAAAUUCUUUGUAUAUAAAAAAAAUUCAAAUACAUUAUUGAAGAAAUAAUUUGAACGUUUACGGCAAGUAGCCAACGAUAUCAGACACAUUGAUUUUCACCCAAUCCAUGUGCCACAUCUAUCAAAAUUCAUGCUUGUGGUUGGACAGAUGAAAUAAAACCUUGUAUAGUGUUCUUAUAUCUUCACGAGCUACACACUAAGUAACCCACUGUACUUCAAGUUCUACAUCAUUACUCUUCUAACUACAGCUACUACCAAGACUACCACCACAACUUCCCCACUACAAUAGCACAACUUUCCUGUUAAAAAGUAGGUAUAUCACACAUCUAUUACUUCCUCUCAAUGAAAUAAAAAUCGGGAACAAAGUUUUAUUAAGGAGAAAAGGUUUAAACCUAUCCACCACAAGACCAAACCUCCUUUGCUACCCUUUUAUUAUAUUGUGGACCAUUCAGUUCAAUUUAACACCCUUCCAUCACAAAAUCCAAGCACCCCUACAAUAGACCUCACCUAUGGUAUCACUGCACUCCACACUGCAUGAUCACCCACGGCCACACCUCCCCCAAACAUAUGAGAACCCUGCUGACAACCUUCCCAGACACACAAUGGUCUUAAACAACCUUCACUCAAACCAACACCCACUUGACACAGUAUCUGAAAUGACGCCACACACACACACACACACACACACACACACACACACACACACACACACACACACACACACACACACACACACACACAGAAAGGAAGGGAGAAGGAUGCAACACAAUAGCAUAAAUGGAUAAAAGUGGCUUAUGCUGACGUAGAUGGCUUAAUCUCAGCGAGGCAAAACCUUUAUUUUUAUUUUUUUUUGUUUUUGAGGGAAAAGGAGCUAGACAUUGUGCUUUGUAGAGAUUAACUUAAACAAAAAUAUUAAUUCACACAGGAGGGAGAUAAUAAAUACAGGCUGGGGAGAAGAGAGAAAAGAGAAAUAGGCUGAAGUGGUAAUGGCAGUGCAGAAAAGCAUUAAUAUGGAACUGGGAGACAAUUUAAGAGGCCCUAAACAUUAUUAUUAUUAUUAAAUCCAGGAAUUAUCCAUGUCCCUAACUAACAGCAAUAAUGUAGUGAUCAAAUUGAAAACAGUAAAGGACUGUGACAUCAAAAGACGAGACACACAGGAAUGCGAGGUAACACUUCGGGAAAAGAAACUUACAGAAUUAAGAAAUGCGAAGUGGAAAACCUUUCUCUACCUUUAUGACUCUGCUUUGGAAAAAUGAGCCUGAAGUAAGAGGGAGAGAGACCAAGAAAAAGGAUAAAUUUGAGAAGAGUGACAACAGACCCAGAUAGGAGUACAAAAGAGCCAGAAAUAAACUUGUAAAACAUAACCGAGAAAGAGGAGAGAUGCAAUGAACUGUGGAAUGGCCUGGGAGGUCAUCCAGUUCCAAACCUUGAAUGAAUUCAAAGCCAACUUUGACCCACUGAGAGAGACAGGACCCCCUGACCUUUGCUAAUUUCCUGUAUAGCAAAAUACACACACA